CUGGUGCACGUGUGUGCGCGCCCCGAGAAGGCGCCCGGGCAGGCAAGUGGCAGUCCCCUAACCCGCGCCGCGGCCCGGACUCCCCUUCCCCGACGCCAUCACAGCCCUUCCCUCCCCCAGGUCACGCGGCUCCGCGCCCUGCCCCUGACCCAAGGGCAGCUGGUUCUGGUCUGGUCGGAUGAACACGUGGGCUCCAAGUGCGUGAGUGGGGCCGCCCCUCCCUCUGCCUGGUCCUAGGCAGGUCCCUGGGUCCCGACCCCUUCACCCAUGCGGUCACUCGGGCCACUUGCCGUGGC
RNAcentral lists this small RNA (296 nucleotides) under Pan troglodytes (chimpanzee). RNAcentral describes it as "retained intron". Lineage: Eukaryota; Metazoa; Chordata; Mammalia; Primates; Hominidae. The record is from RNAcentral.